This 53-nucleotide transfer RNA is filed under the name Didesmococcus koreanus. Its description in RNAcentral is "tRNA-Ala". Lineage: Eukaryota; Metazoa; Arthropoda; Insecta; Hemiptera; Coccidae. The record is from RNAcentral.
AAUUUAAAGGAUUAAACAGAAACCUGCAAUUUCAAACAAAAAAUCUUAAUUUU